AUUGAACGCUGGCGGCAUGCCUUACACAUGCAAGUCGAACGGUAACAGGUCUUCGGAUGCUGACGAGUGGCGAACGGGUGAGUAAUACAUCGGAACGUGCCCGAUCGUGGGGGAUAACGGAGCGAAAGCUUUGCUAAUACCGCAUACGAUCUACGGAUGAAAGCAGGGGACCGCAAGGCCUUGCGCGGACGGAGCGGCCGAUGGCAGAUUAGGUAGUUGGUGGGAUAAAAGCUUACCAAGCCGACGAUCUGUAGCUGGUCUGAGAGGACGACCAGCCACACUGGGACUGAGACACGGCCCAGACUCCUACGGGAGGCAGCAGUGGGGAAUUUUGGACAAUGGGCGAAAGCCUGAUCCAGCCAUGCCGCGUGCAGGAUGAAGGCCUUCGGGUUGUAAACUGCUUUUGUACGGAACGAAAGACUCCUUCUAAUAAAGGGGUCCAUGACGGUACCGUAAGAAUAAGACACCGGCUAACUAACGUGCCAGCAGCCGCGGUAAACCUAGUCUACG
This 510-nucleotide ribosomal RNA is filed under the name uncultured bacterium. RNAcentral describes it as "bacterial SSU rRNA". It matches the Rfam family "Bacterial small subunit ribosomal RNA", at positions 30 to 536 of the family's 1533-position model. The record is from RNAcentral.